UACGGAGGAUCCAAGCGUUAUCCGGAUUCAUUGGGUUUAAAGGGUGCGUAGGCGGAUUUGUAAGUCAGUGGUGAAAGCCAACAGCUUAACUGUUGAACUGCCAUUGAUACUGCAAGUCUUGAGUACAUUUGAUGUGGGCGGAAUGUGUCAUGUAGCGGUGAAAUGCUUAGAUAUGACACAGAACACCGAUUGCGAAGGCAGCUCACAAAACUGUAACUGACGCUGAGGCACGACAGCGUGGGGAUCAAACAGG
Molecule: ribosomal RNA, 253 nt
Filed under: uncultured bacterium
Lineage: Bacteria
Description: partial 16S ribosomal RNA
Rfam family: Bacterial small subunit ribosomal RNA
Source: RNAcentral